Molecule: ribosomal RNA, 301 nt
Filed under: uncultured bacterium
Lineage: Bacteria
Description: partial 16S ribosomal RNA
Rfam family: Bacterial small subunit ribosomal RNA
Source: RNAcentral
CAGCAGCCGCGGUAAUACGUAGGUGGCAAGCGUUGUCCGGAAUUAUUGGGCGUAAAGGGCUCGCAGGCGGUCUCUUAAGUCUGAUGUGUAAGCCUCCGGCUCAACCGGGGAGGGUCAUUGGAAACUGGGAAACUUAAGUGCAGAAGAGGAGAGUGGAAUUCCACGUGUAGCGGUGAAAUGCGUAGAGAUGUGGAGGAACACCAGUGACGAAGGCGACUCUCUGGUCUGUAACUGACGCUGAGGAGCGAAAGCGUGGGGAGCGAACAGGAUUAGAUACCCCAGUAGUCCCUGUCUCUUAUAA